Pseudonaja textilis is the source of this 853-nucleotide long non-coding RNA. RefSeq lists it as uncharacterized. The record is from RefSeq and is a predicted model, not a curated record. Lineage: Eukaryota; Metazoa; Chordata; Lepidosauria; Squamata; Elapidae.
CGUUGCGUUCCUCUAAGUGCGCAGGCGCAAUAGUGGUCCGGCAAUGGAGCGCCGCCUCCUCUGGCCUACUAAGGUCUCCUUUGCUAACGUGAUGGCCGGAGGAGUUCGCCUUCCGUUCCUCUUUCCUUCGCUAGCGAUAUCUCAAGGUGGAGAGCCGACGUGAGAUAGGAGAGUUGUAGACUUCGGUGACGUAGAAGAUGCUGAAUGUAUGAAACAAGAAGAAAACAGGGGGAAAAAAGACUAUUUACAGCAACUCUUUAUAGGUACGCAUUUAUUGAAGAGCAGUGGUCAAAUUCCGCGGGAAGAACCAAGUUUUCCUCCAUUAAUCAAAGUCCAUUGAUCAAAUACACAUCAGGUGGAAAGAUAACACAGUCAACAAUUUUGUCACAAAAAUUGUAAUAAGUGUUCUAAACCUUUUUCAUGCUGAAUUCAAAAAUGAAGUUAAUUUUUUUCUAUCGGGCUUAGUUUUCUGUGACCCUAUUAUUCUGUUCAAUUAGUGACAUCAUGGUGCUUUAUGUUAACUAUAAUAACGUAUAUGUAUCAGUUAUGUUUAGUUUGGAGGAAUCAACCACCCCACCAUCCCAAUUUGUAUUAUUUCUGCCUAACAAACACAACAGGGAUCACCUCUAAAGUAACCACACUAUGAAAUACCCCAUUUUACCAUCUGUUUAAGUAAAGCAGAAAAGGAAAAUCUUAAUUCUGAUCUAACAUUUUAGGUUAUCUGAAAUGAGCCACAUAUGUUGAUGCAAGGAGAUCUGAACAAUCUUGUUCAUGAUUUGAAGCUGUCUUAGAAGCAGGAUGAACUUUUAAGAACAAAAUGAAAUGGAAUCUUCACUGUCAUGAUACUUAAGGG